GGGCCCGCACAAGCGGUGGAGUAUGUGGUUUAAUUCGAUGCAACGCGAAGAACCUUACCAGGGUUUGACAUCCUGCGAAUCUCUUGGAAACGAGAGAGUGCCUUCGGGAACGCAGUGACAGGUGGUGCAUGGCUGUCGUCAGCUCGUGUCGUGAGAUGUUGGGUUAAGUCCCGCAACGAGCGCAACCCACGUCUUUAGUUGCCAGCGAUUCGGUCGGGGACUCUAGAGAGACUGCCUGCGCAAGCAGAGAGGAAGGCGGGGACGACGUCAAAUCAUCAUGGCCUUUAUGCCCAGGGCUACACACGUGCUACAAUGGUAAGGACAAAGGGCAGCGAGCCGGCGACGGUCAG
This 350-nucleotide ribosomal RNA is filed under the name uncultured bacterium. Its description in RNAcentral is "bacterial SSU rRNA". It matches the Rfam family "Bacterial small subunit ribosomal RNA", at positions 917 to 1267 of the family's 1533-position model. The record is from RNAcentral.